This 253-nucleotide ribosomal RNA is filed under the name uncultured bacterium. RNAcentral's name for it is "partial 16S ribosomal RNA". It matches the Rfam family "Bacterial small subunit ribosomal RNA", at positions 524 to 776 of the family's 1533-position model. The record is from RNAcentral.
UACGAAGGGGGCUAGCGUUGCUCGGAAUCACUGGGCGUAAAGGGUGCGUAGGCGGGUCUUUAAGUCAGGGGUGAAAUCCUGGAGCUCAACUCCAGAGCUGCCUUUGAUACUGAAGAUCUUGAGUUCGGGAGAGGUGAGUGGAACUGCGAGUGUAGAGGUGAAAUUCGUAGAUAUUCGCAAGAACACCAGUGGCGAAGGCGGCUCACUGGCCCGAUACUGACGCUGAUGCACGAAAGCGUGGGGAGCAAACAGG